RNAcentral lists this long non-coding RNA (2307 nucleotides) under Amborella trichopoda. RNAcentral's name for it is "long non-coding RNA (ATRI_LNC000695)". Lineage: Eukaryota; Viridiplantae; Streptophyta; Magnoliopsida; Amborellales; Amborellaceae. The record is from RNAcentral.
UUCAAUGGCUCAUGCCUCAAUGGCUUGACUCCCCAAUAUCCAGUCCCGAUCGAUGACAUAGAGGCAUAUCUCCUAAUUUGCUUUUCCAUAUUCUCAUUAUGAGCCCUCUACUGGAUCGAGAUAGUAUGGGGCAUAUGGCAGUCGUCAAAAGUAAGUUACAUAGGUAAAUAAAGGUCUCACGCAUUUUGGUUUUGCUGUAGCACUCGAAAGAAGAGCGAGGGCCAAUAAAGAAGAAGGGUCAAAUGGAAUAUGCAACCUUGUAUGUUAAGAAACUAAGCAUAAAAGUAAAGAGGAUUUGAAGGUCGUGGCAAGGUCAUAAUAUGACAUGUUGAGGUCUAGGUAGAGCAUAAGGGAAAAGAGAAAUUGAGGAAGCUGUAGCUAUACUGGUAAAGAGAGAGCCGCUACUAUCCUACUAAUUGCUGACAGCUUUGUCUCAGGUUAAUGAUAGGCCAGCAAUAGCUUGGCUCGAUGGAAAGUAGGUGAACAUUGGUUUUCAAGGAAGGGCUUAGGCUUAGACCAAAUGGGUACAACUUGAAAGCUGACGAUUACUCUAACAUCAAACUUAGGCUAUGCUUGAAGGCGGAGGAGUGCUUGCUUCGAUUUAGUUGGUUCCCUUUUUCUAUCCGUGAGAAGGACCAAAAAGAUAUAAGGGCUAAGCAGCAAUCGAAAAACAUAUUUAUAGACGAAUAACUAUAAUAUACGCGACUUUUUUUCCUGCCUUAGGUCGGCCUCCACGGCCAUCCCUUUUAGGUAGGAUCGUUUGUUUAGCAGUGUGAAUAAGAUGAUGCGUUGAUCACGCUUUGCAUAAGGUUGUGACCUAUUCGACCGAACAAAAGCCUUUGCUUCCGAAAUGGUGGUUCUUGGUUCUUUUUUGUGUGGAUAGAAUGUUUUCAAUCUCUUCCUGACAGACUAACUUAUCUACUCCCACCGUCUUUGGCUUCAUGCCUGUUGGCUUAGCCCUCCCACUUCCUUUCUUCACCGGGUAAAUGGCCCUCCCUCCAAUUCAAUAAGACAAAGAACUCCCGCUUGCGCUUUGCUAGGCGGUACUGUCAACCAACAAGGCUUGUUGCCUUUUAUUCAGCUUCCACUUCUUCUGAUGUUUCGGUCUCUAUUUGGGCUCCUUUUAUUGAUUCCAAACCAGCCGGUCCGGUAGAGGAAUCUUUUGAUGAAGAUACCGAUAUAGAAAGUCAGUGUCGCCUUGGCCUUGUUCCAGCGGUAGCCCCCUCUGGGCUGUGAUUCAAAUUCUAUCCAAUUCUUCCCUGAGAAAGAGUGCCAAAUCUAGAGUCCUUUUAUCUUGUCUUUUGGAUUCUAUUCUCUAUAAAAUGAGCAGUAUUGAGAUGAGGAGGAACCCAAGGUAAGCAGCAACGGGAGCUCGCAAACAACUGAUUGUGAGCUAGAUAGAGAGAGAAGAAGUGCACCCACUUUCCUAUUAUUACUUUACGUAUGAGUUUGAGGACUACAAUCUAUAGCCUUUUGAAGAAGUGAUUUUCGCCCUUACUAUAGAUAGUGCAAGCUGAAACCUUGAAAGGGUCUACCCGAGCUUCUCUUUGUUCGUCAACGGGGGCCCCUCCUCCUUAUCUUGUUCUCAAAGACAACAUAUUGAACCUUUCUAUGAGUGGAGGGCUUUCCUUUUGCUUCUUCUUUAUUUUGAAGAUCUUCUUAUGGGCUUUCCUUUUGCUUCUUCUUUAUUUUGACUAUCUUCUUAUGCUGACCCCCCUCCCAUAGUAUGAAGUAGGUACUAACACACAAGAUUGGUAGGCACACCACAUGGAAUUCCACUUUCAGAAGUCAGAAAAGAAAGAUCAUUUAGAAAAAGCACUGUGAUAUCGAUCUAAGACAAGUCCUCUCAUUGACAAAUGGAGUUCACCCUUCUCUUAUCAAUCUUGAAGAUAUACUUGUGAAGAGAUCAAAUCAUUCUUCCUUACUAUACGAUGAAAACUAAACAACCAUUCUACGCUAUUAUGCUAAGAGAAAUUCCAACCUAUAUAAGGUCUGGGACCAAAGAAAAGCCAGAAUCAUAGGGAGAUUCGGAGUCAGUUGAAGAUUGUCCAUCGGAAUCCUUUCUUUAUCAUCCAUUCAGUAGUAGGUCAAACUGGUCUCCAGCCAGGGUAGGUUAGAAUUCCUUCCCAUGAGCUUAUAGUCAGAGCAGGUGGUAUAAGCAGAAAUAGAAGUAAGCUCAUCUAGUUCCAACGAUUUACCUAAAAGGUGUGGUGUAGGUGACCUAGCCUGCCCCUCAAAGGAGGCUGGGAUAGGGAAGAAAGGAAAAGAGGCCUACUAGAGUACUUAGAUAAAAAAAAGAGCAAGCCG